CAAGGGGGCAGCAAUGCACCAUCAUGGAUGAUGGCUGCCGUAAAACCGAACAAUACAGGAAUUGAAUAUGGUUGGUGCUAACAGUAAAACGAUACAUUUUCAUAUGAAAAGUAACUUGAGGAUGUAUCCUUCUGGAAUUAUUUUUGGAAAGUCCCCAAAAAGUCACUUAUGUUCCAGGCCGGUUUACAAAUCUUCUGGAAGGGCUCACACAGAAGCACUCUUUGGAAAGGCCCGGAUGUUAGCUAGCAUGGUUGGAGUGGAUGAAGACACAUCUAAAAGGCCUACGUUGCAUGGAGGACCUCGUAGAAAUGGCGAAUUUCCCUUCUAGCUAACAAAAAAACUGCGCGGCCCCACCUUAAAUGAGGACAGGGAGCAAGGGAGCACACUGGACAGCGGAGACGAGGGGAGAGGUAGAUGGGAAUUCAUUGAAGAAUUGGGCAUAAUGUGCUCUGGGCAGUCCCCGAACCAGCUGUUUUCCAUUCGGUGGGAGUACAAGCAGUGAAAUGUAGCUGGGGUGGGAUAGACAGGCAAACAAAGAAGUGUAGAAGAAGAGGGGCAAGACUGUAAAACAUGGUGUGAGACACAACGUGUAAAGGUCACGAAGAUGGCCGUUCAAGUGGCCUGGUGUGUCCUUUUCUUUCUCUCCAUGUGUUCUUUUGUCUCAGACAAACUAAAUAGAACAGUAGGCUCCAAAAGACAAAAGACUCCCUUUAAAGGAAUGAGACUUGUUUUUAGAUGUAUUAGUGUUUGCUUUUGUUGAUAACCUGCAUCUUUUUACCCUUAUUAAAUCCUCCACACUGUGUA
Etheostoma spectabile (orangethroat darter) is the source of this 804-nucleotide long non-coding RNA. RefSeq lists it as uncharacterized. Lineage: Eukaryota; Metazoa; Chordata; Actinopteri; Perciformes; Percidae. The record is from RefSeq and is a predicted model, not a curated record. The transcript is spliced from 3 exons.